AAGGAGAAUUACCUACUGUUUAAUUUUGAGGGUUCGUUUUUACGAAUACUCAAAAUUAGCACUUUAAGCAACGGGAUUUAUCCGUUGGCGACGUGCUUUAGCACUUUUAGCAACAGAAUAAACUGAACGCAUGUGAAGUUUGUUUGUUGGCGCUGUGCGUUAGCACUUUGAAAACUGCAUAUAUAUUUAGUGAUAUGACAUCUAAUUUGUAAUAUAUAAAGCUGAUAACUUUUUAAAAUUAUCGAAGUUGAUAGCUUCUAAUCUAUCAAACCUUUUUAAC
Molecule: unclassified non-coding RNA, 280 nt
Filed under: Clostridioides difficile
Lineage: Bacteria; Bacillati; Bacillota; Clostridia; Peptostreptococcales; Peptostreptococcaceae
Description: 16S-23S ribosomal RNA intergenic spacer
Source: RNAcentral